This 505-nucleotide ribosomal RNA is filed under the name uncultured marine eukaryote. RNAcentral's name for it is "bacterial SSU rRNA". It matches the Rfam family "Eukaryotic small subunit ribosomal RNA", at positions 22 to 548 of the family's 1831-position model. The record is from RNAcentral.
AGCCAUACGCUCGUCUCAAAGAUUAAGCCAUGCAUGUCUAAGUAAAAAUAACUCUUUACUGUGAAACUGCGAACGGCUCAUUAUAUCAGUUAUAGUUUACUUGAUAGUACCUUACUACUUGGAUACCCGUAGUAAUUCUAGAGCUAAUACAUGCAUCAACGCCCAAUCGGGCCGCGUUUAUUAGAUAGAAACCCAUAUUUUUGGUGAAUCAUAAUAACUGUGCGAAUCGCAUGGGUUUACCCCGGCGAUGAAUCAAUCAAGUUUCUGACCUAUCAGCUUUCGACGGUAGGGUAUUGGCCUACCGUUGCUUUGACGGGUAACGGAGAAUUAGGGUUCGAUUCCGGAGAGGGAGCCUGCGAAACGGCUACCACAUCUAAGGAAGGCAGCAGGCGCGCAAAUUACCCAAUCCUGACUCAGGGAGGUAGUGACAAGAAAUAACAAUACUGAGCCUUUCAGGUUUAGUAAUUGGAAUGAGAACAAUUUAAAUCCCUUAUCGAGUAUCAAU